Molecule: ribosomal RNA, 253 nt
Filed under: uncultured bacterium
Lineage: Bacteria
Description: partial 16S ribosomal RNA
Rfam family: Bacterial small subunit ribosomal RNA
Source: RNAcentral
UACAGAGGGGGCCAGCGUUAUUCGGAAUUAUUGGGCGUAAAGGGCGCGUAGGCGGCUUUGCGUGUCUUUCGUGAAAUCCCUCGGCUCAACUGAGGACGUGCGGAAGAAACUGCAGGGCUGGAGUCCGGGAGAGGAGGGUGGAAUUCCCAGUGUAGCGGUGAAAUGCGUAGAUAUCAGGAGGAACACCUGCGGUGUAGACGGCUUACUGGACCAUAACUGACGCUGAGGCACGAAAGCGUGGGUAGCAAACAGG